This is a long non-coding RNA of Egretta garzetta (little egret), 364 nucleotides long. RefSeq lists it as uncharacterized. Lineage: Eukaryota; Metazoa; Chordata; Aves; Pelecaniformes; Ardeidae. The record is from RefSeq and is a predicted model, not a curated record. The transcript has 3 exons.
UCAAGUUGUUUGUCUUCAGACUUCACUAGCUGCUGAAAAAAUCAGGAGGAGUCUUACAGCCAGAACAGCCAAGUGCUUCGUGCUCAGCUGAAGAUGGAUGUGGCAAUCACAGGUAAAAGCAUUCCUCCAGUAAGAUGCAGGAUGCUCUCGGGGAGCAGGCAGGCAUUUGUGCUGCUCUGUGGAGAUGCUCUUCCCCCUGCCCAGAGCGCAGGGCCAAGGCAGCAGGGACAAGGAGAGUCUCAGUCUUGGGAUGUGCCCAAGAGCCGAUGACUUCUUCAGGACUUGUUCCAAGAAGGAGUCAAAGUAGCUGUUAACCAUUUCGAAGCUGUCCCGGAUGGCCCCGAUGCCCCACUCUGAAUAGGAU